Molecule: unclassified non-coding RNA, 6235 nt
Filed under: Pomacea canaliculata
Lineage: Eukaryota; Metazoa; Mollusca; Gastropoda; Architaenioglossa; Ampullariidae
Description: uncharacterized LOC112574747, transcript variant X1
Source: RNAcentral
UUAACAUCCUGUCCCCGUGGUACUUACCUCGUAACUCUGACCGCUCUUACCUCAGCAGGUUAACCCCUGAUCAAAGGUCACAUGACAACUUUAGUCGGUAGCUGGAACCAGUGAGUUCAGGAAGGGAAGAUGACUGGACGGUGGUUCGUCGGCUUACCUGUGAUAUAUCAAAAGAAAAAAAAAUAAACUUUGAGAUUUUGAUGGAAAGAUUUAAUCACAGAAAUUGCAUUUCAGCAUUAAGAGAGACGAUAUCAUCGUUUGUCGCGAGACGACAAACAGGGUAAAGGCGGAGACCUGCCACGCGCAGAAUAUGAUUUGUUGGGGGACUCGUUUGUCAAGCGGAAAUGACAUUCGAUCACUUGAUUGUUGUGAUCAGACCACGUAAAGUUCCACAACUGUGCAAACAACACGUGUGUGCAAAUACCAUCGGCUUUAGUCACGUGUAAACGACGAUUAAACAGUUUACAUUGUGUGUAAGCGAUCAUGGAAAAUGUAAUCAGUAGUGAACUUUAAGUGGUUCACCGUGCCUAGGGGAUUUCUGCUUGAUAGAUUGGUUGUCUAGUAGCAGAGCUGAAGUUCCCCCUCGGAAGCCGUAACAAACGGACUUAAAAAUGUAUUCAGUUUAGUUUGAAAAAGCGAAAACUUUCACAGAAGACUUAUUAGAACAUUUUUAAAUAAAUUUAAAUCAGGAAAAAUAAAAGUUCUGCAUGCCGGUUGAGAAAAACAAGGAUAAAAGGAGUGCAAUGGCCACACAUCUCCGGGUGUGUCGGGGGCAGGAGCCCAUGUUUAUUUGUUCAGAAUGGGAUUUCCAAGACUGAUAAUCUGCUUUUUUUCCGCACGCCACCUGUACAAUCGAUACGUCACACCUGCACGUCACUUUCUUCCACCUCGAUCCUCGUCUGAGCCUCGAUACCCGUGGGUGUAUUUGCUUUCCGUGGGUGAGGCCUGCACGUCAUUUAGCACUUCUGCAUCUCGAGUAUCAUCUGGCCGUGUUUUUGUUUCCUUAUUUGUCUCGUUUUACCUUGGCUUUAUCGCCGAUACCCGCUAUUUUUACUCACCUGUGUUUUCCCAAGGUCUUGUGUUCACCUGAGCCGGUUUCAUGUUUUGUUGGAUUUUUGGUUUCCAUGGAUGAGAACAGGCAUCACGCUGGGAGAACAAUGUCUGAGCUAUUUACAGUCGGGUGGCUGGGUUCUUCUUGUUUUGGUCUCUACAGAUGAUAAUUAUUUGUAAGCAGCCCGCAAAUAGGAGGAGGAUGCUGACAUGCUGUCUGACAAGAAAUUAUUUCAAUUUCCGCUUCAUCCUAAUUGUCGGAAAGCUUCAUGGUGAAGACAGAUUAACGGUAUUGCAGGUAAAUAUUCUCGCAUCAAACCCACACUUACUCUUGCAACCUCUUCUCUUGAGUUCAGCUUUUGAGUAGUUCAUCAACUGAUUCACUAAUUCCUCCAAAGCCAUCAAUAAAGCUGCAAUGAAUCGUUUGUGAUGAACUUGUCCAGCAGAGGAAUGUUUUGUGGGUUACUAGUUUGUAUCGCCAUGGAGACGAUGUUGCAUUGUUUUGUUAGGCCGUUGGAAAACCGCCAAAGAAACAAAAUGUUGAAUGUCGUUUCAGUUGUCUGAGGUAAUAAAAACAACAAACGAAAAAGCUUUGCCAAGUCCAUUUAGUGUAUCAAAAACAACAACAAGAAGAAGCUUAAAUAAAAAACAAAAACAAAAAACAAAAACAAAAAAACAAAAAAACAAAAAACAAAACAAAAAACAAGAGCUUUUGUUAGGCCGGCGUUUCGUGUUCCUUUUAUUUGUCGUUUCCUUCUUUUUUCAAACGACCAGAGAUUUCUUUGAAGGAAAAAAGCGUCUGACGUGUUCUCUACGUGUUCUCUACGUGAUGACUGUUUAGUAGCUUGAAUGAAUAAAUAUAUACGACACAAAGUACAGAGAAAGGUGAAAAGGCUUCAGCAUUCUAUUUGAUUUCUAGAUAAUGUCGGUUGAUUACAUUCCUGUCUGCCCUUUGUACGCUCCUGAAGAUGAUAUUUAUCCUGUGCGUGUAUCCUGCUGACAGGUACACACAGUAGUGCUCAACCCUGGAGUAUGUUUACACUGCUCACCUACAUCAUUAACUCAUUGAUGAAGAAAGAACCUUGUAUUAUGUAUGUGGUGUUCACAUGUACAUAUUGUUCAAGUUGAUGGUGACCUGAAUACAAUUUUAACUCGGACCUAAGUUUUUGUGUUUUUAUUUACAUGUGCACGUGCGGAUGUAGAGUUGUUACAAAAGUCUUGAGUAAACACGUCGUGGUGUGAGUGUUGUGUUUGUGUGUGUGUGUGAGUGAGAGAGAGACAGAAAGGGAGACAGAGUGUAUGUAUGCAUUAACUAAUUUUCAUGUUAUACCAAGAUUUCUUCAGAGAAUCCGAGAACUCUCAAAAUUAUUUCACUGGCAUCCCCGUCGUAAACUGAUUUGAGAAAGGCCGGUGUAAAGCACGUGAGAACCACACCUGUGUGAAAGGUUGCCACCUGCCCGGACGGACUAAGUACAGGUAAGCGCACCACGCAGCGUCGUUUCCGAUGCCGCUACAGGUUCAUCUGCUCUGGUCAAUACGAUGGGCGUGGUCACAGUUCUUCUUCCUGUCACACGCCACUCGUCAACUCCGAUCCAUCGCCUACCUGCACAGGUAACUGCUACAUGAUACAAGAACGGUAACAACCAGGUGUUACAGGUGAUAAGAACAAAGUGCAGGCUUAACAACCCCGGCGUCUGAAGAGCUGUUGCCGAGGAGUUUAGGUUUUGUUUCUGUUGGAAGAAUUAUAAACAGAGUCAAGAACUGGGAGGUGCAUCCAAACCCUGAGGGGAGGGUUCAUUGUGAUGAUAGCUCCGUUGUCUGGCAUACCCGCCGUGUAAGAACCUCCACCUGUUGAACGAACGACCUGGGUGGUGCUGUACACAUCCUCCCAAGAUGCUUUCAUUCGGAGUGGAAGCUUCGCUCAUCACAUCCCCUCACCUGAGGGACACCUGACCAGCCUUGACCCUACAGUGGCCUCAGGUGAUGGCGGCGGCGGUGGGUAGAACCCUGUGGACGUUGUGUUCGCCUUAUCGCUCGACUUCAAAUCUGCGGUCGAAGUUGUCGUCGGGGUGAAAAAAAAAAAAAAAAGGAAAGCAAACAAACUGACGCAACCAUGUGAUAAAACUAUAAAUCAUGGAAGCGAGCAUCGAAUGAUCUAGACCGUUCAACGUUGCGUUUCGCCGAUUCCCGCCGAUAAGGAAGAUUGUAGUGUAUCGUAAUGCCAUCGAUCUGCAGCCGGAACUUGAUACAGAUGCUCGGCAGCUUGGGUCCUGCUGCAGACAGAGAGACAAAGUUCAGGCUCCGCAAUCCCAGACUUGUCUGCAGCUCACACACCCGCCACUCAGCUGUAAUAACAAUACCUACGGACGUUGAAGGAAGGGAUUACACAGUUUUUAGUCGGAUGUAUCGAUGCACCCUGACACGUCCUGCCGACAGAAAAGCUUUUCCGCAUUGGCAGACGGCUGAAGCACAACAUGUAUGACGAUUGGCAUAAUGAAAACAUGGGUUAGCACACAAACGAUGUGUGGUUAAGGCUUCCUGAUGAGUUAAAUCUCACGAGUCGUCUUCGCUCAGGACUGAUGUUAAUUAUCUCCAGACCUCGGGCCGGAUACAGCAAAGGGGUCGCACACUUCAUGGCAGAGGCGUGUCCGGCGCGCUUGCCGCAGGUCAGCGGGUCACUUCCAGUGGAGUGGCUGCUGGUGUCUCUUCUGUACAUGCUGCUGGCCACGGAGAUCAUCAACAUCCUCCGAGACCGGUAUAUGAUCCAGGGUCACAGGUCAGACCUAAAGGACCCGACACCUGCAAGCCGACCUCUCGUUACUUCAACAAGGAAACCGUGCGGCAUGUCUCACAAGAAGAAAGCUGCUGGCUCAUUGGACCAUUUGUGGCGACGCAUGCGGCAAGCGACCAAUCAGAUGAGGCUUAUUAACCUGCGCCACCAAGUCAUCACCAAAGUGAUGAUGGAGUCUCGUAUCGAGGCCCGGAUGCAGGAGAGAGAGAAGCAGCAAAGGAAAAAGCAGAAGCUUCUGGCGGAGUUAAAGUGACACAGUGUGGACAUGACACAGUGUGGACAUGACACAAUGUGGACAUGACACAAUGUGGACAUGACACAAUGUGGACAUGACACAAUGUAGACAAACUAUUGGCUACGCGGACUCAUCCCAAUGUUAGUUAACAGAUGUUCUGUGUGACACUCAUUGACUGGAUGCUGUAGUAGCCGAUGCAUUUAAGCUUGAUGCUGUGAUGAUAACAGACGGGUGGAUGUGCAUGAUUUUCAUGGAAGAGGUGAGAAGAUGUUUGGAGAGGUUAAAGGUCAAUUUAAGCGCUAUACAAAAAAACGGGUAACAAUGUAUUUCACGAUGUUCCGAGAGAUCAAGAUUCUCAAGAAGUUAAUUAAUUUCAUCUCGAAUUAUAAUCCAAAGAAGUUAAUUCAAGACAUUUCUCAGAAAUAUUCCGAUUCAAGUUCCAGAAAGGCCAGGCUUACCCUAUCCCCUGUGUCUUGCCUCUUUUAUUGUUAGGAUCCUGCAACAUUCUUAAACAUCUGUUCUGUCUACAACAGUGGUUUUUUUUUCAAACGACAGGAAAAAGAUCGCUAGAGUCUGCUAAUAUUGUCGGUACCUUUAAGGUUGUUGUCCCUUUCUAAAUCCUGUGUGGGAUUCUGGUAUAACUUUGUUUUGAAACAGCCAGUCAUACAAUUCAGUGUUGAAUGACUGACGAAUAACAUUUGCCAAUCACAGCAGAGAGAUUCCUCUGUAAUUAAUGUGGGACUCAUGGUACAAUGACAACUUCUUUCCACAAGUGGGGACAUUUCCCAUUCACAAACACAUUGUUAAAGUAUUUGUUCAAAAUCCCAGAACACGUUCUACUCCUACCUUCAACAUUUCUGCCAAAAUGUUGUGUAUACCACAUGCCUUACCACAUCUCAGGCCCCUGAUUACUGAGUGUACCUCGUUUUCACAAAUAAUGUCAUUUACUGCUUCAGUUCAGGCAGGUGGUCAUUGCCACCUGGGUUUAGUCUGGAACAGGACAGGGUGUGAAAUAAUUGAAUGAUUUCUUUGAUACUGCCACAAACUAUAUUCAAACAGCUCUGAUAUUUUGUGCAUCAUCCUGGGCAGAUAAAACUUUGCCUCCUGACAAUCAUCGUCAAUCCUUUCUGUGAUUGUGUGCAAACAAUAAUUUUCUUCAUGUCCGUUGCAGGUGACUAGAGGCUGUUCACACCCUCAUGGCAAUAUUCGUGUUCUGUUUGACAAACUCGUGUUAGGUUCACUUGGUCUUGCCCUGUAGUCAACACAGAUGCGCCCUUUCUCCUGUCCCUCUAUUGUUUGUAAACAAUUUUCACCUGCACGUACAUCGGCUUAGUGUUGGUGAGACUGGCAGGUUGUCAGACUCUGUUUUCUUCGUUCAGUGUACAAACCUUCAUCACAAAGUUCAUUCGAUGUGCAAACAAACCCUAGCAGACUGGAUCCUGCCUCCGAGUUGAAAGUCCUACCACCAUCUACAUCGAAACAAGACUACAACCGUUAAAAAAUGUAGCAUUCAUAGUGUUAACUAUUGGAUCUUCUGACAUCAUGAGAGAGAGAGAGACAGAGAGAUGAAGUGUGUAUUUAUCUUCACGUGUGUCUCUGUGUCUCUGUGUGUCUGUGUGUCUCUGUGUGUCUGUGUAUAUCUGUCUAUUUGUACGUGUAUGUGCAGCCUCUAGUAAUCGGUUUUGUGUCUCGGCUUGACUGAAAAAAAGAACGAAUAAUAGCAGAAAUCGUGCCGUGAAAGAUAAAAGAAAGGUUUCAACUAGUCACAUCAUUGUGUGUAUAUGCGGGCAUCCCUGCAAAAAUGUGCAGAAUGUGAAAAUAACUGAAAAUAAAAGAGAUACAUAUAACAUACUUCUUUGCGCCCACGCGUGUGUUGGUGUUGCUGGUGGUAGUGUGUUUGUGUGUGUGCGUGCGUGCGCAUGUUUUUGUGGAUGCAUAUGCUAGCAACUAACAUGAGCUUUUGUCCUUAAAGUACCAGUGGGAUACACACACAAUCUCUUAGUCUCGUUCUACCAUCCCUCUCUCUCUCUCAAUCAAUCUACCUUUACCUCUCUCUCUUCCUUCCCUCUAUCUCUCUUUUAGAUACAAUUAAUUACUUACUCUCUGGAACACUCUCACACGCAUAAUUAGUCACUGUUUCUUUCUCCCUCCUAUCCUCU